RNAcentral lists this ribosomal RNA (450 nucleotides) under uncultured bacterium. RNAcentral describes it as "partial 16S ribosomal RNA". It matches the Rfam family "Bacterial small subunit ribosomal RNA", at positions 354 to 796 of the family's 1533-position model. The record is from RNAcentral.
GUGGGGAAUCUUCCGCAAUGGACGAAAGUCUGACGGAGCAACGCCGCGUGAGUGAUGAAGGUCUUCGGAUUGUAAAGCUCUGUUAAUCGGGACGAAAGAGCCUAGUGUGAAUAAUGCUAGGAAGUGACGGUACCGGAAUAGAAAGCCACGGCUAACUACGUGCCAGCAGCCGCGGUAAUACGUAGGUGGCAAGCGUUGUCCGGAAUUAUUGGGCGUAAAGCGCGCGCAGGCGGAUCUGCCAGUCUGUCUUAAAAGUUCGGGGCUUAACCCCGUGAUGUGAUGGAAACUACAGAUCUAGAGUAUCGGAGAGGAAAGUGGAAUUCCUAGUGUAGCGGUGAAAUGCGUAGAUAUUAGGAAGAACACCAGUGGCGAAGGCGACUUUCUGGACGAAAACUGACGCUGAGGCGCGAAAGCCAGGGGAGCGAACGGGAUUAGAUAACCUUGUAGUCC